AGCAGUCGCCACGGUAAUACGGAGGGGGCUAGCGUUGUUCGGAAUUACUGGGCGUAAAGCGCACGUAGGCGGCUUGGUAAGUUAGAGGUGAAAGCCCAGGGCUCAACCCUGGAAUUGCCUUUAAGACAGCCGAGCUAGUAGGUGAGAGAGGUGAGUGGAAUUCCGAGUGUAGAGGUGAAAUUCGUAGAUAUUCGGAAGAACACCAGUGGCGAAGGCGGCUCACUGGCUCAUUCUAGACGCUGAGGUGCGAAAGCGUGGGGAGCGAACAGGAUUAGAUACCCCCGUAGUCCCUGUCUCUUAUAC
This 303-nucleotide ribosomal RNA is filed under the name uncultured bacterium. RNAcentral describes it as "partial 16S ribosomal RNA". It matches the Rfam family "Bacterial small subunit ribosomal RNA", at positions 507 to 807 of the family's 1533-position model. The record is from RNAcentral.